CAGCCCCGCGGGAAAACGGAGGGUGCAAGCGUUAAUCGGAAUUACUGGGCGUAAAGCGCACGCAGGCGGUCUGUCAAGUCAGAUGUGAAAUCCCCGGGCUUAACCUGGGAACUGCAUUUGAAACUGGCAGGCUAGAGUCUUGUAGAGGGGGGUAGAAUUCCAGGUGUAGCGGUGAAAUGCGUAGAGAUCUGGAGGAAUACCGGUGGCGAAGGCGGCCCCCUGGACAAAGACUGACGCUCAGGUGCGAAAGCGUGGGGAGCAAACAGGAUUAGAUACCCGUGUAGUCCCUGUCUCUUAUACA
Molecule: ribosomal RNA, 301 nt
Filed under: uncultured bacterium
Lineage: Bacteria
Description: partial 16S ribosomal RNA
Rfam family: Bacterial small subunit ribosomal RNA
Source: RNAcentral